GCGGUGGUGGUUUGGUGGUAGAACUCUCGCCUCCCGUGCAGGAGACCUGGGUUCGAUUCCCAGCCAAUGCA
Molecule: non-coding RNA, 71 nt
Organism: Trichechus manatus latirostris (Florida manatee)
Lineage: Eukaryota; Metazoa; Chordata; Mammalia; Sirenia; Trichechidae
Source: the annotation of a RefSeq genome assembly